This 202-nucleotide long non-coding RNA is filed under the name Actinidia chinensis (golden kiwifruit). Its description in RNAcentral is "long non-coding RNA (ACHI_LNC001731)". Lineage: Eukaryota; Viridiplantae; Streptophyta; Magnoliopsida; Ericales; Actinidiaceae. The record is from RNAcentral.
CAUCCCUAAACUUUAGCACCCAAGAUGUUCAGAAUAUUCUAACUUUUAAUAGAAAUGAAAGGAAUUACAUAAAAAAGGGAUUUUCAGAGUACAGAUAUGUCGUGGAGUAAUCUUGGUAGGUAGGAUCUAAGUCACAUAAUUCACCAGUCACCCCUCCCGCUAUGCGAAUUGGUUUGCGAAUUUUUGAAUUUACCCCAAAUUC